UCAUUACUGAGUUUACGCUCUAUAACCCUUUGUGAACAUACCUAUAACUGUUGCUUCGGCGGGUAGGGUCUCCGUGACCCUCCCGGCCUCCCGCCCCCGGGCGGGUCGGCGCCCGCCGGAGGAUAACCAAACUCUGAUUUAACGACGUUUCUUCUGAGUGGUACAAGCAAAUAAUCAAAACUUUUAACAACGGAUCUCUUGGUUCUGGCAUCGAUGAAGAACGCAGCGAAAUGCGAUAAGUAAUGUGAAUUGCAGAAUUCAGUGAAUCAUCGAAUCUUUGAACGCACAUUGCGCCCGCCAGCAUUCUGGCGGGCAUGCCUGUUCGAGCGUCAUUUCAACCCUCAAGCUCUGCUUGGUGUUGGGGCCCUACAGCUGAUGUAGGCCCUCAAAGGUAGUGGCGGACCCUCCCGGAGCCUCCUUUGCGUAGUAACUUUACGUCUCGCACUGGGAUCCGGAGGGACUCUUGCCGUAAAACCCCCAAUUUUCCAAAGGUUGACCUC
This 500-nucleotide unclassified non-coding RNA is filed under the name Colletotrichum sp. 1 C33. RNAcentral's name for it is "sequence contains ITS2". The stretch from base 179 to 332 matches the Rfam family "5.8S ribosomal RNA". Lineage: Eukaryota; Fungi; Ascomycota; Sordariomycetes; Glomerellales; Glomerellaceae. The record is from RNAcentral.